GACGAACGCUGGCGGCGUGCUUAGCACGUGCAAGUCGAACGAUGAAGCCUUAGCUUGCUUUGGUGGAUUAGUGGCGAACGGGUGAGUAACACGUGAGCAACGUGCCCAGGACUCUGGAAUAACCGCGGGAAACCGUGGCUAAUACCGGAUAGGUGCCGAGGCCGCAUGGUCUUCGGUUGGAAAGUUUUUGCGGUUCUGGAUCGGCUCACGGCCUAUCAGCUUGUUGGUGGGGUAAUGGCCUACCAAGGCGACGACGGGUAGCCGGCCUGAGAGGGUGACCGGCCACACUGCGACUGAGACACGGCCCAGACUCCUACGGGAGGCAGCAGUGGGGAAUAUUGCACAAUGGGCGCAAGCCUGAUGCAGCAACGCCGCGUGGGGGAUGACGGCCUUCGGGUUGUAAACCUCUUUUAGUAGGGAAGAAGCGCAAGUGACGGUACCUGCAGAAAAAGCACCGGCUAACUACGUG
This 469-nucleotide ribosomal RNA is filed under the name uncultured bacterium. RNAcentral's name for it is "partial 16S ribosomal RNA". It matches the Rfam family "Bacterial small subunit ribosomal RNA", at positions 28 to 507 of the family's 1533-position model. The record is from RNAcentral.